RNAcentral lists this transfer RNA (73 nucleotides) under Portunus trituberculatus (swimming crab). RNAcentral's name for it is "tRNA-Phe". It matches the Rfam family "tRNA". From Rfam's summary of the family: Transfer RNA (tRNA) molecules are approximately 80 nucleotides in length. Their secondary structure includes four short double-helical elements and three loops (D, anti-codon, and T loops). Further hydrogen bonds mediate the characteristic L-shaped molecular structure. tRNAs have two regions of fundamental functional importance: the anti-codon, which is responsible for specific mRNA codon recognition, and the 3' end, to which the tRNAs corresponding amino acid is attached (by aminoacyl-tRNA synthetases). tRNAs cope with the degeneracy of the genetic code in two manners: having more than one tRNA (with a specific anti-codon) for a particular amino acid; and 'wobble' base-pairing, i.e. permitting non-standard base-pairing at the 3rd anti-codon position. The record is from RNAcentral. Lineage: Eukaryota; Metazoa; Arthropoda; Malacostraca; Decapoda; Portunidae.
GCCUAGAUAGCUCAGUUGGGAGAGCGUUAGACUGAAGAUCUAAAGGUCCCCGGUUCAAACCCGGGUCUGGGCA